Molecule: long non-coding RNA, 839 nt
Organism: Pistacia vera
Lineage: Eukaryota; Viridiplantae; Streptophyta; Magnoliopsida; Sapindales; Anacardiaceae
Exons: 5
Source: RefSeq, a predicted model, not a curated record
AGGCAAUUUCUGCCAAUGGACAAAAAAAGUACCCUUCAAACAGAUCUUGUUCUAAAGGUCCUUGGACUCGAUAUCUGUGCUGACACAAUGGUGGGAGGUGAGAUGAGAAGAGGCAUCUCUGGAGGUCAAAAAAGGGGACUGACUACAGGGGAGAUGGUUGUUGGUCCCACCUAUUUAUGGAUGAAAUAUCAAAUGGUUUAGACAGUUCAACAACAUAUCGGGUUGUUGCUUGUCUGCAGCAGCUGGUGCAUAUCACAGAUGCUACCAUAUUGAUUUCACUUCUUCUACCAGCUCUAGAGACCUUUUAAACUCUUUGAUGACAUCAUUAUGAUGGAAGAAGGGAAGGUUGUGUACCAAGAACCACGCGAUCAAGUUGUAUAAUUUUUUGAGGACUGUGGAUUCAGGUGUCCUCAAAGAAAAGGUGUAGCUGACUUUCUUUAGGAGUGCAGUUGAUCCUUUUGAAAAGGGGUGGAUGCGUCGGCUACACUGGACCAUUGGGAAAGAAUUCAUGCAGGCUUAUAGGGUAUUUUGAGGCAAUAUCUGGGGUGCCGAAGUUAGAGAUAACUACAAUCCAGCAACAUGGAUAUUAGAGCUCACAUCUCCAUCUUUAGAAGUUGAACUUUGUGUAGAUUUAGCCCAAAUAUACACAGAUUCUGCCUUAUAUGAGCAACGAGCAACUAGUUUGAUGAAUUUUCCUUGAAUUAAAUUAGUGAUCACAAGAAGUUUUCUGGUUCCAUUUCUUUCUCUUUAUAUGUGCUGACUAUGCCUAUUAAGACAUAAACACAUUUCAAACUUCAAAGUGUAAUUUCACUUGUAUACUUGACAGAAAACCAUGCCGA